GAUGAAGAACGUAGCGAAAUGCGAUAAGUAAUGCGAAUUGCAGAAUUCCGUGAGUCAUCGAAUCUUUGAACGCACAUUGCGCCCUCUGGUAUUCCGGAGGGCAUGCCUGUCUGAGCGUCAUUGUCAACCCUCAAGCUCAGCUUGCUGUUGGGUCCCCGUCGUUGCUUUAACGGCGGACCCGAAAGGUAAUGGCAGAGUCCGUGAGACCCUAGACGCAGCGAGCUUCUAGCACGCGUCUGGACGUUUUUCGGGCUCGGUCUUAACUAGAUGAUAACUUCCGAUUGACCUCAGAUCAGGUAGGGAUACCCGCUGAGCUUAAGCAUAUCAAUAAGCGGAGGA
RNAcentral lists this unclassified non-coding RNA (339 nucleotides) under soil metagenome. RNAcentral describes it as "partial contains 5.8S ribosomal RNA, internal transcribed spacer 2, and large subunit ribosomal RNA". The stretch from base 1 to 120 matches the Rfam family "5.8S ribosomal RNA", at positions 35 to 154 of the family's 154-position model. The record is from RNAcentral.